GAUGAACGCUGGCGGCGUGCCUAGUACAUGCAAGUCGAGCGAACAGAUAAGGAGCUUGCUCCUUUGACGUUAGCGGCGGACGGGUGAGUAACACGUGGGCAACCUACCUAUAAGACUGGAAUAACUCCGGGAAACCGGGGCUAAUGCCGGAUAACAUUUAGAACCGCAUGGUUCUAAAGUGAAAGAUGGUUUUGCUAUCACUUAUAGAUGGACCCGCGCCGUAUUAGCUAGUUGGUAAGGUAACGGCUUACCAAGGCAACGAUACGUAGCCGACCUGAGAGGGUGAUCGGCCACACUGGAACUGAGACACGGUCCAGACUCCUACGGGAGGCAGCAGUAGGGAAUCUUCCGCAAUGGGCGAAAGCCUGACGGAGCAACGCCGCGUGAGUGAUGAAGGUCUUCGGAUCGUAAAACUCUGUUAUUAGGGAAGAACAAAUGUGUAAGUAACUGUGCACGUCUUGACGGUACCUAAUCAGAAAGCCACGGCUAACUACGUG
Molecule: ribosomal RNA, 497 nt
Filed under: uncultured bacterium
Lineage: Bacteria
Description: partial 16S ribosomal RNA
Rfam family: Bacterial small subunit ribosomal RNA
Source: RNAcentral